UACAGAGGUGGCAAGCGUUGUUCGGAAUUACUGGGCGUAAAGGGCGCGUAGGCGGUCUUGCAAGUCCCGUGUGAAAUCCCUCGGCUCAACUGAGGAAUGGCACGGGAAACUGCUUGGCUUGAGUUCGGGAGAGGGAAGCGGAAUUCCGGGUGUAGCGGUGAAAUGCGUAGAUAUCAGGAGGAACACCAAUUGCGAAGGCAGCUCGCUGGUACGACACUGACACUGAGACGCGAAAGCGUGGGGAGCAAACAGG
Molecule: ribosomal RNA, 253 nt
Filed under: uncultured bacterium
Lineage: Bacteria
Description: partial 16S ribosomal RNA
Rfam family: Bacterial small subunit ribosomal RNA
Source: RNAcentral